ACAGAGGUUGCUUGGCAACAUUUCAGUUUUCAUUUAUGCAAUAUCCCUGCCUAUGUGAAGACAAAAGCUCAAACAAAGGUUAAAGUUUUCAAAUGUUUUCAAUAUCAGGAUUUUAAUAAGUACAGACUUUAUAUUUUUACAUGCUGUACUCAACCAGAGAUCUGUUCUAACGUGAACUUACACGAAGCUUGAGAUACGUAGACAAAAGAUCUUCCCAUAACUUCAGUACUGCAGGUCAGAUCAAUUUUGGACAUUUGUAUCAGUCUCUCCAGAUUUUCUAUGGGGAUAAAAAGAUACCUGUUCUGCUGCAGCAACACAGGGGCUACCAUGUACAAGGAAAAGUUGCAUCAUGGGUGCUAAGCUGCUCUAGACUGCACAGACUUGGUUUCAGAAGAUGGAGACCCAAAAAUAACGAAGCAGUGGACUUGCAUCAAGUCUAGACGAUUAAACUCCAAACUCCUUUCCGAUCCUACAGAAACUGGAGAAUACAACUUCUUCCUAAUAUUCAAGAGAUCUAACCUGCUUCCACUGUCAACUCAACAACUGUGAAUACCAGAUGAGGCACCAACUGCUAAGAAUAUUUUUCAUCUUGAGAUCUACCUAAGUACAAACAGUUGAUUAUGCAACUAAACCAGUGACGAGACAGGCGCCCAGCACCUUGGUCUGCCCUACCUGAGCAAGUAUUUC
Long non-coding RNA from Harpia harpyja (harpy eagle), 687 nucleotides. RefSeq lists it as uncharacterized. NCBI's taxonomy places the organism in Eukaryota, Metazoa, Chordata, Aves, Accipitriformes, Accipitridae. The record is from RefSeq and is a predicted model, not a curated record. The transcript is spliced from 3 exons.